AUACAGAGGGUGCGAGCGUUAAUCGGAAUUACUGGGCGUAAAGCGCGCGUAGGCGGCUGAUUAAGUCAGAUGUGAAAUCCCAGGGCUCAACCUUGGAACUGCAUCUGAUACUGGUCAGCUAGAGUGUAGGAGAGGGAAGUAGAAUUUCAGGUGUAGCGGUGAAAUGCAUAGAUAUCUGAAGGAAUACCAGUGGCGAAGGCGGCUUCCUGGCCUAAAACUGACGCUGAGGUGCGAAAGCGUGGGUAGCAAACGGGAUUAGAAACCCUAGUAGUCC
Molecule: ribosomal RNA, 274 nt
Filed under: uncultured bacterium
Lineage: Bacteria
Description: partial 16S ribosomal RNA
Rfam family: Bacterial small subunit ribosomal RNA
Source: RNAcentral